This 717-nucleotide long non-coding RNA is filed under the name Bos indicus x Bos taurus (hybrid cattle). RNAcentral's name for it is "lncRNA (ENSBIXG00005010436.1)". Lineage: Eukaryota; Metazoa; Chordata; Mammalia; Artiodactyla; Bovidae. The record is from RNAcentral.
UUCAGAAUUACCACAGCAGCGUUUGUUUUUCACCGUUCACAGCACCAACAAACAUUUAUGAAGUGCUAACUCUGUGCAAGGUCCGAGGUAGGACGCAGCGAUGAAUAAGAAGUGAUGUUUGUGGUUCAUCUGGGGAGGAAGACAGUAGGAGGGAUGUUCUGCAGUCUACUGGUUUCAUACUGUUGCUUUCCAGCACUGGGCAUUUCAGAAGGUGUCAGAAAACAACAGAACCAGUUAGCUUAAAAACUCGAGGGCCAUCUGACGUUCCUGUUCUACCACAUGGGGCUGGAACCAUGCGUGGCAUCCAAGAGACUUUGUUGCUGCUUCCGCCUCGUCACAUUCUGGUUCGGAGAUGUCAGUGUCGCAGCGCUGGGGGAAUGCUGAGCCUUCCAUCUCUUUGCUUCUCCACCUGAAGUGCUUUUAAAUGUAACAGCAGAUUUGCUGGAAUUUUGCCCAGAUGCCUUUUCUCUCCCAGUCGGACCCAGCCACUCUCCCAAAGUUGUUCCUUUGGGACAAGACUCUCAGAAGAAGUCCAUGCAUGGCUCCUCCUUCUCUGCGGGGUGAUUAGUACCCAGGUCACAUAUGCGUCAGACACACUCGGAGGGGCUCCCCCUCCAUCCUGGCCAAUGGCCGACUGGACCAGCCAACGUUUUGUUUUACUUGACAUGAAAGCUGGUUGAAGUUAAGCAGGAGACAUGUUUUUGUUUCUUUAAUAAA